RNAcentral lists this ribosomal RNA (445 nucleotides) under uncultured bacterium. RNAcentral's name for it is "partial 16S ribosomal RNA". It matches the Rfam family "Bacterial small subunit ribosomal RNA", at positions 354 to 796 of the family's 1533-position model. The record is from RNAcentral.
GUGAGGAAUAUUGCGCAAUGGAGGCAACUCUGACGCAGCCAUGCCGCGUGCAGGAAGAAGGCGCUACGCGUUGUAAACUGCUUUUAACCGGGAAGAAACCCCAGGACGUGUCCUGGGUUGACGGUACCGGAGGAAUAAGCACCGGCUAACUUCGUGCCAGCAGCCGCGGUAAUACGAAGGGUGCAAGCGUUAUCCGGAUUCAUUGGGUUUAAAGGGUGCGUAGUCGGAGCGUUAAGUCAGGGGUGAAAUCCUGCAGCUUAACUGUAGACUUGCCAUUGAUACUGUCGAUCUUGAGUGCGCUUGAAGUGGGCGGAAUGUGCCGUGUAGCGGUGAAAUGCUUAGAUAUGGCACAGAACACCAAUUGCGAAGGCAGCUCACUAAGGCGAUACUGACGCUGAGGCACGAAAGCGUGGGGAUCGAACAGGAUUAGAAACCCUAGUAGUCC